GACAGAGCCUGGCUUUGUGCGGGAGGCAGACGCGCCCCGCGCGCCGCCCCCGAAACAUUCGCACCCCAUGCUGAGGCGCGCGUCUGGGAGUCCGUGGGCGCCCCGAGGGGCAGUGGAAGCCGUUGGAGGGCCUCAGGCAGGAACACAAGGUGUCGUGGCAGAAAGGAAGAAGGGGCCGGGCACGGUGGCCCACACCCGUCAUCCCAGCACUUUGGGAGGGAGGCCAAGGCAGGAGGAUCGCUUCAAUCCAGGAGUUCAAGAUCAGCCUGGGCAACACAGCAAGACCCCGUCUCUACUAAAACCCUAAAACUUAGCCAGGCUUGGUGGCAUGUGCCUAAGGUCCCAGGUCCUCGGGAGACUAAGGCAGGAGGAUUGCUUAAGCCCAAGAGUUUGAGGCUGCAGUGAACUAUUAUCACACCACUGCACUCAGCCUGGGUGACAGAGUGACUCUGUCUCAAAACUAAAUAAAUAAACAAUAAUUGUGUUAUUCUGUC
RNAcentral lists this long non-coding RNA (494 nucleotides) under Homo sapiens (human). RNAcentral describes it as "non-protein coding lnc-DNAAF5-3:20". The record is from RNAcentral. Lineage: Eukaryota; Metazoa; Chordata; Mammalia; Primates; Hominidae.